This is a long non-coding RNA of Eublepharis macularius, 2401 nucleotides long. RefSeq lists it as uncharacterized. The transcript is spliced from 2 exons. The record is from RefSeq and is a predicted model, not a curated record. Lineage: Eukaryota; Metazoa; Chordata; Lepidosauria; Squamata; Eublepharidae.
UUUGCGUUCGUAACGGAUUCCGCGAAAACAGCUGUAGUUGCCGGGAGGGUGGAAGUGGUUCAUCAGCUCCUGGCUGCGGUCCUAUUGGCACGUCCAUGGAACAAAAUGAGAUUUACUCCCUGAGGAGGGAUGUAUGGGAUCGGACCGCCAACCUACUUCCACCGACGGUCGUAUUACUAAAACAAAUAGGAUUUACUCUCGAGUAAAUUUACUUGAGAUUAGGCUCUUAUAGUUGGAAAGAAAACAGAAGCAGAACAAAUGCUUCGUGAUUGGCUAGGAUUGAACGUGCUCGGUGGCUUCCAAUGCCGCUGCUUUUCUUAACAUUUCCUUUAAUUCAUAAAUCCUGGAAAAUCGGAGAGAAUUCCUCCUCCCUCCCUCCUCCUUUAAAAAUCUGAUUUACGUGUAUCGUGUAACAUCCAGCUCCCCCUUAAUGGGGAGAGGGGAUAGCCAUGCAGCAGGGAUACCAUGUGUUUGCCGCUUGGUUUUCUUUUUAAUUAAAAGGAUAGAUGUGUACCGCGUUGCUAGAGGGCAUCUCAGAAAACGAUUUUUAAAAGGGAAAAGAGUAAAAAAAAUUAAAAGGUUCACAGAAUGGUGGGGUGUUUCAACUGUGUAGAAAAUAGUCUUGCUAGUGACCAACAGGCGGUGACUUUAACUGAAACUCUCAAAGUGCAAUGGGUAUGGAAGAAGAGUGUCUUUUUAGUAGCAAUGUCACAGGCAUUAGUCAACAGGCGUUCCUUGUAAAGCUUCUUAAAUACAUUUCCGGCAGCACUUCAAACUACAACUGGCUGAUGGGAAGGGGUAAUCAAUCAAUCAAAAUAUUGUGCUUUAUUGGUGUGAAAAUGCUGUUUCCACGUAAAAGAUACUCUGUCUGAGGGGAAAAUAUGUGGAUUUUUAACAAGUGAGUGACAACUGCACAUUCCUCAUGCAAUAAAGCAAAGUGCUUUUAGGCAUGAGUGGUAAGGUAGUGCCUUCCGCCCCUGAUGGCACAAACGUUCAUAGUUAAAGGCUAGAACUCCAUUCGCAUCAGCCUAUCUCUUGAUUAUAGGGAAUUAAAUUAUUGACGUGGCAUUCUUCCAUCCUACUAACGUGCCAAGAACUCCCUGAUCUGAAGAGGAAUACUUCCCUUUACUAGGUCAGCCUCUACUCCUCUGCUAAGGAGAGGAUUCUUCUUGCUUUGCUGCACUAGGGACUGGGGACAGAGACUUUACCUCAAAGAGCACAGUAUUCUACAAUUCAGAGUGCAAUCCUAUGCAGAGUUAAACCAGUCUAAGACCAUUAAUAUAACUGGUUUAACUGAUUAAGCUGGAAUAACUCAGCAUAGUGUUGCACUUUUAGUUCCUUUAGACAGGAAAAUAGGUGAGCUGGUUAACUGUGCCCCCACCUAUACUGGCAAGACAGGUGACAAGUUACUGUGCAGGGCUGUGUGACACAUUGUUUGGCACUUCUGCUGAAGGGUCACCAACACUGUAAUUCUACAGCAUUUUAAGUUACAGUGAUUGUUAAUUGACCCCAGACUUCACGUGAGAUUUGGGAAAGUAUUUAAUAUAAACUUUUUAAACACACAACACACUUGGCAUAACGAGUCUUUUGUGAGUAGUCUAUCCCAUUAUGAUUGAUGUGCACAAAGAUACAGUUUUAGCAUAGUUCAUUCAUUUUUUCUGCUGCCUUGUAUGAGUGAAACAGUAAAUGACAAGAUUUAUAGAAUUUAUUUUGAAAAAAGUAAUGUUUAUUUUCAGCUCCUGGGGGGAAGACACUUUCCCUCUAAGCUUUUGCCCCCAACUAGUCCAAGUACGUUCUAGGGGUUUCUGUAGCUUUUGUUAACAAUUCUUCCCAUGUUAGCUUUUAUCAUCAGCCCUUAAUUAGACAAAAAAUAGUUUUCCAGAUAAGAAAGUCCUAAGGAUAGUGUUUUCUUCUAUUUGGCAGAUAGAAUUCUCUCCCUGUGAAUUUUUCGUUGGUGCUGGACUAAUCAAAGAAAUAUUAGUCAAUAUAUGAAGCAGCCAUUACUUAUACCUGACCACCCAAGCUCAAGGCAAGAAAUAAUAACGUGUAUUAUAUCUUCAGCUGUCUCUGGCCCAUUCUGCAUGGCACACUUUAAGCCAGCGAUGCUGAGCAUUCAUGCCAAUUGGUGCUGAAAUGGCUUGGGGUCCCAUCAUUCUGCACGGCAUGAACUUGAGGUUUCUUGGCACUUGAUGGAGAUUGAACAGUUGUUGAAUGUGAAUUGGAAAAAAAACAAGUUCCAAACAUUAAAGAAAGCAUGGACACUACCUUGUUUUUUUGUUAAUCUAAUUAUUGAGUUAAUUUUUCAAACACCAGUUUUCCAAAGAUGAUUGAUCAUAUUGCAUGCUAAUUGUGAUUUUGUUGUAAAUUUCCAGUGCAGCUAAUUAAAAAAUUAUGAAACAUU